CAAUAGCGUAUAUUUAAGUUGUUGCAGUUAAAAAGCUCGUAGUUGGAUUUCUGCUGAUCGCUGUCGGUCUGCCGUCAGGUGUGUACUGGCAGUGUUUGGCAUCUAUUCGAGAUUGAGUGUCCACUUGAUUGUGUGCACUCGAUGUCGGAGCUAAUACUUUGAGAAAAUUAGAGUGUUCCACGCAGGCGCGUGCCUUGAAUACUGCAGCAUGGGAUAUUGGAAGGCCGAUUGAGCCUUCUUGUUGGUUCUCGGUUUGAUCGGAAUGAUUAAUAGGGAUAGUUGGGGGCAUUCGUAUUCAACUGUCAGAGGUGAAAUUCUUGGAUUUGUUGAAGACGGACUACUGCGAAAGCAUCUGCCAUGGAUGUUCUCAUUGA
Molecule: ribosomal RNA, 374 nt
Filed under: uncultured eukaryote
Lineage: Eukaryota
Description: partial 18S ribosomal RNA
Rfam family: Eukaryotic small subunit ribosomal RNA
Source: RNAcentral